CCUCUCUCUCUCUUGUCUCUCCUCUCUUUUCUUUCCCUGUUUUCACUCCGCCCGCCCUCCCUUUCAUAUCUGUUUCUCUCUGUGGUUCCCCACAGGCCCUUUCAAGUGAAUCGUUUGAGAGGCUCUGGUGUUUAUAAGUCGACCUGGCGGCACUACAAGACGACACCCGAAGCCGACGACUGGAGCGACCCCGUCAGCGAAUCCAGGGACGCUUCCAAAUACAAGGCCGACCCGUACGGGAUCUCCGUUCUUCAGAUGGGCGAACUGAGGUACGGGGAAGUGAAAGCGACUUGCCCUGGGCCACACAACAGACCAGCGGCGGGGCACCCGGGACCUGCUGACUCUCGGGCCCCGGCUCUAUCCGCUUCGCCGUGCUGCUUCUCCUAAAGAACAUUCCAGGGAUUAAAACAGUCGACAAGUA
This is a long non-coding RNA of Ornithorhynchus anatinus (platypus), 421 nucleotides long. RefSeq lists it as uncharacterized. The record is from RefSeq and is a predicted model, not a curated record. The transcript has 2 exons. NCBI's taxonomy places the organism in Eukaryota, Metazoa, Chordata, Mammalia, Monotremata, Ornithorhynchidae.